RNAcentral lists this ribosomal RNA (327 nucleotides) under uncultured eukaryote. RNAcentral's name for it is "partial 18S ribosomal RNA". It matches the Rfam family "Eukaryotic small subunit ribosomal RNA", at positions 1470 to 1796 of the family's 1831-position model. The record is from RNAcentral.
CCCUUAGAUGUUCUGGGCCGCACACGCGCUACACUGAAGGAGGCAGCGUGUACUCCUGGAUCGAAAGAUUUGGGUAACCCGCGAAUCUCCUUCGUGCUAGGGAUUGAGGUUUGCAAUUAUCCUUCAUGAACGAGGAAUUCCCAGUAAGUGCAAGUCAUAAGCUUGCGCUGACUACGUCCCUGCCCUUUGUACACACCGCCCGUCGCUACUACCGAUUGAAUGAUUUAGUGAGGACUUCAGACUGGGACCGAUGCGGCUUUCGGGCUGCGUCGGUAUUCUGGAAAGAUGUCCAAACUGUAUCAUUUAGAGGAAGUAAAANUCGUANCA